GAUGAACGCUGGCGGCGUGCCUAAUACAUGCAAGUCGAGCGAACAGACGAGGAGCUUGCUCCUCUGACGUUAGCGGCGGACGGGUGAGUAACACGUGGAUAACCUACCUAUAAGACUGGGAUAACUUCGGGAAACCGGAGCUAAUACCGGAUAAUAUAUUGAACCGCAUGGUUCAAUAGUGAAAGACGGUUUUGCUGUCACUUAUAGAUGGAUCCGCGCCGCAUUAGCUAGUUGGUAAGGUAACGGCUUACCAAGGCGACGAUGCGUAGCCGACCUGAGAGGGUGAUCGGCCACACUGGAACUGAGACACGGUCCAGACUCCUACGGGAGGGAGCAGUAGGGAAUCUUCCGCAAUGGGCGAAAGCCUGACGGAGCAACGCCGCGUGAGUGAUGAAGGUCUUCGGAUCGUAAAACUCUGUUAUUAGGGAAGAACAAAUGUGUAAGUAACUAUGCACGUCUUGACGGUACCUAAUCAGAAAGCCACGGCUAACUACGUG
RNAcentral lists this ribosomal RNA (497 nucleotides) under uncultured bacterium. RNAcentral's name for it is "partial 16S ribosomal RNA". It matches the Rfam family "Bacterial small subunit ribosomal RNA", at positions 28 to 507 of the family's 1533-position model. The record is from RNAcentral.